GGGGGCGCUUUGGAUUCGACGCCGGUUACAAAACCCGUGGUGCAUGCCGAGAGGGCGAUCAAUCUCGUUAAUCCAAAAUCGCAAACUUUAGUUGCCAACGACGACAACUACGCACUCGCUGCUUAAUACCCAGUAGGGUGCCGUCUGACUGAAGCCGUGCUUGUGCGUUCAGGUUCCAGGCGUCGACUCUCACAAGAUCGCGCGGAAGCUCGUCCGGGGCGGAAACGUUAAAACCUUACCGGAAUCGCUACAUCGCGCGCCCUGUCGGCCGGGUUGUGAUGGGCUAAACAUAAAGACCGAAUAAGCAUGUAGAGCUACUGGUAGCGGACUGACGGACGCGGGUUCAAUUCCCGCCGCCUCCACCA
RNAcentral lists this transfer-messenger RNA (365 nucleotides) under Porticoccaceae. RNAcentral describes it as "JAGPUQ01 sp016708925 Standard tmRNA". It matches the Rfam family "transfer-messenger RNA". From Rfam's summary of the family: Bacterial tmRNA, also known as 10Sa RNA or SsrA, is named for its dual tRNA and mRNA-like properties. Its role is to liberate the mRNA from a stalled ribosome. The record is from RNAcentral. RNAcentral also lists the same sequence under 1 other name. Lineage: Bacteria; Pseudomonadati; Pseudomonadota; Gammaproteobacteria; Cellvibrionales.